RNAcentral lists this ribosomal RNA (513 nucleotides) under uncultured bacterium. RNAcentral describes it as "partial 16S ribosomal RNA". The record is from RNAcentral.
CACGUAGUUAGCCGUGACUUUCUCACAGGGUACCGUCACUGUCUUCUUCCCCUGCGACGACAGUUUACAAUCCGAAGACCUUCUUCCUGCACGCGGCGUUGCUGCGUCAGGGUUGCCCCCAUUGCGCAAUAUUCCCCACUGCUGCCUCCCGUAGGAGUCUGGGCCGUGUCUCAGUCCCAAUGCGGCCGAUCAACCUCUCAGUUCGGCUACAGAUCGUCGCCUUGGUGAGCCGUUACCUCACCAACCAGCUAAUCUGACGCGAGUCCAUCCAUAAGCGAUAAAUCUUUCAAAUUCUAUGAUGCCAUAAAUUUCAAUAUGCGGUAUUAGUCCUCGUUUCCAAGGAUUAUCCCCCUCUUAUGGGCAGGUUACUCACGCGUUACUCGCCCGUCCGCCACUUUCCACCCAACAGUUCACCCCGAAGGGACUCACAAUGGGUUUCUCGUUCGACUUGCAUGUGUUAGGCACGCCGCCAGCCGUUCGUCCGUGUACGCAGGAUACGAAACUACUCGUACG